AACGAACGCUGGCGGCAGGCUUAACACAUGCAAGUCGAGCGCCCCGCAAGGGGAGCGGCAGACGGGUGAGUAACGCGUGGGAACGUACCUUUUGGUUCGGAACAACUCCGGGAAACUGGAGCUAAUACCGGAUAAGCCCUAACGGGGAAAGAUUUAUCGCCGAAAGAUCGGCCCGCGUCUGAUUAGCUAGUUGGUGAGGUAACGGCUCACCAAGGCGACGAUCAGUAGCUGGUCUGAGAGGAUGAUCAGCCACACUGGGACUGAGACACGGCCCAGACUCCUACGGGAGGCAGCAGUGGGGAAUAUUGGACAAUGGGCGCAAGCCUGAUCCAGCCAUGCCGCGUUAGUGAUGAAGGCCUUAGGGUUGUAAAGCUCUUUUGUCCGGGAAGAUAAUGACUGUACCGGAAGAAUAAGCCCCGGCUAACUUCGUG
This 431-nucleotide ribosomal RNA is filed under the name uncultured bacterium. RNAcentral's name for it is "partial 16S ribosomal RNA". It matches the Rfam family "Bacterial small subunit ribosomal RNA", at positions 29 to 507 of the family's 1533-position model. The record is from RNAcentral.